CGGAUUGAUACUAAGCCAUGCGAGUCGUUGUAGCAAUACAAGGCAUACGGCUCAGUAACGCGUAGUCAACCUAACCUAUGGACGGGAAUAACCUCGGGAAACUGAGAAUAAUGCCCGAUAGAACAUUAUGCCUGGAAUGGUUUAUGUUCCAAAUGAUUUAUCGCCAUAGGAUGGGACUGCGGCCUAUCAGUUUGUUGGUGAGGUAAUGGCCCACCAAGACUAUUACAGGUACGGGCUCUGAGAGGAGUAGCCCGGAGAUGGGUACUGAGACACGGACCCAGGCCCUAUGGGGCGCAGCAGGCGAGAAAACUUUGCAAUGUGCGAAAGCACGACAAGGUUAAUCCGAGUGAUUUCUGCUAAAGAGAUCUUUUGUUAGUCCUAGAAACACUAACGAAUAAGGGGUGGGCAAGUUCUGGUGUCAGCCGCCGCGGUAAAACCAGCACCUCAAGUGGUCAGGAUGAUUAUUGGGCCUAAAGCAUCCGUAGCCGGCUCUGUAAGUUUUCGGUUAAAUCUGUACGCUCAACGUACAGGCUGCCGGAAAUACUGCAGAACUAGGGAGUGGGAGAGGUAGACGGUACUCGGUAGGAAGUGGUAAAAUGCUUUGAUCUAUCGAUGACCACCUGUGGCGAAGGCGGUCUACCAGAACACGUCCGACGGUGAGGGAUGAAAGCUGGGGGAGCAAACCGGAUUAGAUACCCGGGUAGUCCCAGCUGUAAACUAUGCAAACUCAGUGAUGCAUUGGCUUGUGGCCAAUGCAGUGCUGCAGGGAAGCCGUUAAGUUUGCCGCCUGGGAAGUACGUACGCAAGUAUGAAACUUAAAGGAAUUG
RNAcentral lists this ribosomal RNA (827 nucleotides) under uncultured archaeon. RNAcentral describes it as "bacterial SSU rRNA". It matches the Rfam family "Archaeal small subunit ribosomal RNA", at positions 34 to 867 of the family's 1478-position model. The record is from RNAcentral.